This 465-nucleotide ribosomal RNA is filed under the name Vreelandella stevensii. Its description in RNAcentral is "partial 16S ribosomal RNA". It matches the Rfam family "Bacterial small subunit ribosomal RNA", at positions 338 to 795 of the family's 1533-position model. Lineage: Bacteria; Pseudomonadati; Pseudomonadota; Gammaproteobacteria; Oceanospirillales; Halomonadaceae. The record is from RNAcentral.
CCUACGAGGGGCUGCAGUGGGGAAUAUUGGACAAUGGGGGGAACCCUGAUCCAGCCAUGCCGCGUGUGUGAAGAAGGCCCUCGGGUUGUAAAGCACUUUCAGUGAGGAAGAAAGCCUGGUGGUUAAUACCCAUCAGGAAAGACAUCACUCACAGAAGAAGCACCGGCUAACUCCGUGCCAGCAGCCGCGGUAAUACGGAGGGUGCGAGCGUUAAUCGGAAUUACUGGGCGUAAAGCGCGCGUAGGUGGCUUGAUAAGCCGGUUGUGAAAGCCCCGGGCUCAACCUGGGAACGGCAUCCGGAACUGUCAAGCUAGAGUGCAGGAGAGGAAGGUAGAAUUCCCGGUGUAGCGGUGAAAUGCGUAGAGAUCGGGAGGAAUACCAGUGGCGAAGGCGGCCUUCUGGACUGACACUGACACUGAGGUGCGAAAGCGUGGGUAGCAAACAGGAUUAGAUACCCUAGUAGUC